RNAcentral lists this ribosomal RNA (301 nucleotides) under uncultured bacterium. RNAcentral's name for it is "partial 16S ribosomal RNA". It matches the Rfam family "Bacterial small subunit ribosomal RNA", at positions 509 to 809 of the family's 1533-position model. The record is from RNAcentral.
CAGCCGCCGCGGUAAUACGUAGGGUGCAAGCGUUAAUCGGAAUUACUGGGCGUAAAGCGUGCGCAGGCGGUUUGUUAAGACAGAUGUGAAAUCCCCGGGCUCAACCUGGGAACUGCAUUUGUGACUGGCAAGCUAGAGUAUGGCAGAGGGGGGUGGAAUUCCGCGUGUAGCAGUGAAAUGCGUAGAUAUGCGGAGGAACACCGAUGGCGAAGGCAGCCCCCUGGGCCAAUACUGACGCUCAUGCACGAAAGCGUGGGGAGCAAACAGGAUUAGAUACCCCUGUAGUCCCUGUCUCUUAUAA